CACGCUAUAAACGAUGAGCACUAGGUGUCGGGGUCGCAAGAUUUCGGUGCCGCAGUUAACGCAUUAAGUGCUCCGCCUGGGGAGUACGCACGCAAGUGUGAAACUCAAAGGAAUUGACGGGGACCCGCACAAGCAGCGGAGCAUGUGGUUUAAUUCGAAGCAACGCGAAGAACCUUACCAGGGCUUGACAUCCCUCUGACCGCUUCUUAAUCGAAGCUUCCCUUCGGGGCAGAGGUGACAGGUGG
RNAcentral lists this ribosomal RNA (245 nucleotides) under uncultured Anaerovorax sp. RNAcentral's name for it is "partial 16S ribosomal RNA". It matches the Rfam family "Bacterial small subunit ribosomal RNA", at positions 796 to 1041 of the family's 1533-position model. The record is from RNAcentral. Lineage: Bacteria; Bacillati; Bacillota; Clostridia; Peptostreptococcales; Anaerovoracaceae.